CGUUGCUCGGAACCACUGGGCGUAAAGCGCACGUAGGCGGAUUGUUAAGUCAGGGGUGAAAUCCUGGAGCUCAACUCCAGAACUGCCUUUGAUACUGGCGAUCUCGAGUCCGGGAGAGGUGAGUGGAACUGCGAGUGUAGAGGUGAAAUUCGUAGAUAUUCGCAAGAACACCAGUGGCGAAGGCGGCUCACUGGCCCGGUACUGACGCUGAGGUGCGAAAGCGUGGGGAGCAAACAGG
RNAcentral lists this ribosomal RNA (238 nucleotides) under uncultured bacterium. RNAcentral describes it as "partial 16S ribosomal RNA". It matches the Rfam family "Bacterial small subunit ribosomal RNA", at positions 539 to 776 of the family's 1533-position model. The record is from RNAcentral.